ACCCAAACCCGAACCGGAAAAUUUAAACCCGAAACAAUUAUUUCUUUUUUCAAUAUUUCAAAAUAUAUUAUAUUAAAUCUAAAUUUUUAAAAUACAAAUUCAAAUAUAACAUCAAUUUUUUUUAUAUAUAUUAUAUAUAAUACAAGAUAAAUUUGGAUUCGGGUCGGGUUCGGGUUCGGGUUGGAUACAAUCAAAAUUCAUAUCCAAAUCCAUAUCCGUCGGGUUUCUAUUUUUGAUAUCCAUAUCCGAAUCCAUAUCUAUAUCCAUCGAAUACAUCCGUUUUAUUCGGGUUCGGGUUCGGAUAAAAUUUCAGAUAUUUAUACCCGUUGACAUCCCUACUCAAU
This 344-nucleotide long non-coding RNA is filed under the name Ananas comosus (pineapple). RNAcentral's name for it is "long non-coding RNA (ACOM_LNC017216)". The record is from RNAcentral. Lineage: Eukaryota; Viridiplantae; Streptophyta; Magnoliopsida; Poales; Bromeliaceae.